RNAcentral lists this ribosomal RNA (468 nucleotides) under uncultured bacterium. RNAcentral's name for it is "partial 16S ribosomal RNA". It matches the Rfam family "Bacterial small subunit ribosomal RNA", at positions 28 to 507 of the family's 1533-position model. The record is from RNAcentral.
GACGAACGCUGGCGGCGGGCUUAACGCAUGCAAGUCGAACGGCAAGGCACUGAUUUUGUGGGGUGCUCGAGUGGCGAACGGGUGCGUAACACGUGAGUAACCUGCCCUUGACUUUGGGAGAACUUCAGGAAACUGGGGCUAAUACCGUAUAGGAGCUCCUGCUGCAUGGUGGGGGUUGGAAAGUUUCGGCGGUUGGGGAUGGACUCGCGGCUUAUCAGCUUGUUGGUGGGGUAGUGGAUUACCAAGGCAUUGUCGGGUAGCCGGCCGGGGAGCGUGACCGGGCACCUUGGGACUGAGGUAGGGACCAGAGUCGUACGGGGGGCAGCAGUGGGGAAUAUUGCACAAUGGGCGGAAGCCUGAUGCAACAACGCCGCGUGCGGGAUGACGGCCUUCGGGUUGUAAACCGCUUUCGCCUGUGACGAAGCGUGAGUGACGGUAAUGGGUAAAGAAGCACCGGCUAACUACGUG